Molecule: ribosomal RNA, 489 nt
Filed under: uncultured bacterium
Lineage: Bacteria
Description: bacterial SSU rRNA
Rfam family: Bacterial small subunit ribosomal RNA
Source: RNAcentral
AUUGAACGCUGGCGGAAUGCUUUACACAUGCAAGUCGAACGGUAGAGGGGGCAACCCCCUUGAGAGUGGCGAACGGGUGAGUAAUGUAUCGGAACGUGCCCCAGUCGUGGGGGAUAACGUAGUGAAAAUUACGCUAAUACCGCAUACGAUCUAUGGAUGAAAGCGGGGGAUCGCAAGACCUCGCGCGAUUGGAGCGGCCGAUAUCAGAUUAGGUAGUUGGUAGGGUAAAGGCCUACCAAGCCAACGAUCUGUAGCUGGUCUGAGAGGACGACCAGCCACACUGGAACUGAGACACGGUCCAGACUCCUACGGGAGGCAGCAGUGGGGAAUUUUGGACAAUGGGCGAAAGCCUGAUCCAGCCAUUCCGCGUGCAGGAUGAAGGCCCUCGGGUUGUAAACUGCUUUUGUACGGAACGAAAAAGGGUUUUCCAUUAAUACUGGGGACUCGAUGACGGUACCGUAAGAAUAAGCACCGGCUAACUACGUGCCC